Molecule: long non-coding RNA, 1287 nt
Organism: Chelonia mydas (Green sea turtle)
Lineage: Eukaryota; Metazoa; Chordata; Testudines; Cheloniidae
Exons: 2
Source: RefSeq, a predicted model, not a curated record
UCCACGUGAUCACCUUCGGAUGCCCACUGGGAGCGAGCCUCGGCUUUCCCGGAGAGGUCCCCGAGCCGACCGGAAGCGGGAAGGCAGGUGUUGACCCUCGGGCCUCGCUCUUGCCCCUUGUCAUCCCCUAAAGCGAUGGAGCACCUACUGUGAGUGAACUAAAGGUCAAGUUUCAACAUGAACCUGGUUGUGAGUUACAAACUUGAUUGGAAGUGGCAACCCAUCACUGUAUCUUCACAGAUUUGUGGCUUUUCUCAAAGAAGUGGAUGCAAAGUGUGAUGGCUGAACUGUGAUAAAUGCUUUUUGAGAGGUUUCUUGCACUUCAAAGAGAUAAUUGCUUUUCUGAAAAACACUGCAAGUUUUGAUACUGAGAUGUUCCUGGAAAAGCUGGAAUAUUCUAUUUUCCUUUUCAAUAUGGUAUUUUUUAUUGACAAACGAACCUCUGAAUUAUUGGAAUCUGCAAUUGCAAGGCAUGGACCAGACUUGUCAGACCUCAUUGGUCACUUGGAUAGUUUCAGAAUCAAAGGUGCACUUUUCAAAAGACUCAGCUGUUGCAUUUGGAUUUUGUCCACUUUACAACGUGCUGCACUUGCAUGCAGCAUGGCACAAAUGCAAGUCAGUUUAGCAGGUACACUACUGAUGUUGAAAUGAUGCUUAAUUUCAACAAAUUUUACAAGUUUUCAGCCUCAUCUGAUCCUUUUUAAUGAUCCACUUGCAGCUGUUGUCAAUGACCAGAUACUGAAUUGCAACAGUAUCUGCAAACUGCGGGCUGAUUUUUUUCUUGGGUGCAGCCACUGAAAGUGAUAUUCAGUUCUGGAAACUGCUUCAGAGUCCUGUUUCCCAAAUCUGAAAAAGUGGUUGUCGAAACUGUUCUAUGUUUGGAAGCGCUUACAUUUGUGAAAGUAACUUCUCUACACUGAAUCACUUGAAGUCAGAAAAGGAAUUGACUGAAAGAUGAAAACACUCUGCCAUCUUAACGAGUUAGAUACACUAAAAUUGAUAGAGAUAAUUUGAUAUAUACACUGAGACUCACCCUCAAGUUUCACUGUAAGAUACUGUAACAAUAAGCAGAGAAAAAACAUUACGUUGCUAUUUUCAUUUAUUAAUCCCCUGCUCUUCUGCAUAUUGAAAAAGAUUAAUGAAAGAUGUUUAAAUGUUUUCUUAAAUUAAAUUAAGAACUUUGGUUUUACACUGUGAAUAAUUUAGCUGUAUGCUAACAUACUGUACCGUCAAACAUUUGAGUUACGCAAUAAACUAAAAAUAAAUCAAUAUUGAUUAUAUAGUCCA